RNAcentral lists this ribosomal RNA (443 nucleotides) under uncultured bacterium. RNAcentral's name for it is "partial 16S ribosomal RNA". It matches the Rfam family "Bacterial small subunit ribosomal RNA", at positions 338 to 795 of the family's 1533-position model. The record is from RNAcentral.
CCUACGGGAGGCAGCAGUGGGGAAUAUUGGGCAAUGGGCGCAAGCCUGAACCAGCAACGCCGCGUGAAGGAAGAAGGCUUUCGGGAUGUAAACCUCUUUUCUCAGGGACGAAGCAAGUGACGGUACCUGAGGAAUAAGCCACGGCUAACUACGUGCCAGCAGCCGCGGUAAGACGUAGGGGGCAAGCGUUAUCCGGAUUCACUGGGUGUAAAGGGCGUGUAGGCGGGACUGCAAGUCAGAUGUGAAAACCACGGGCUCAACCUGUGGCCUGCAUUUGAAACUGUAGUUCUUGAGUACUGGAGAGGCAGACGGAAUUCCUAGUGUAGCGGUGAAAUGCGUAGAUAUUAGGAGGAACACCAGUGGCGAAGGCGGUCUUCUGGACAGCAACUGACGCUGAGGCGCGAAAGCGUGGGGAGCAAACAGGAUUAGAUACCCGUGUAGUC